This 150-nucleotide small nuclear RNA is filed under the name Suricata suricatta (meerkat). Its description in RNAcentral is "U1 spliceosomal RNA (ENSSSUG00005002813.1)". It matches the Rfam family "U1 spliceosomal RNA". Rfam says of the family: U1 is a small nuclear RNA (snRNA) component of the spliceosome (involved in pre-mRNA splicing). Its 5' end forms complementary base pairs with the 5' splice junction, thus defining the 5' donor site of an intron. Lineage: Eukaryota; Metazoa; Chordata; Mammalia; Carnivora; Herpestidae. The record is from RNAcentral.
AUACUUACCUAGGAGGGGAGAUGCCGUGAUCACAAAGGUGGUUUUCCCAGGGCAAGUCAUACACUGCACUCCUGAUGUGCUGACCCCUGUGAUUGCCCCAAAUGUAGGAAAUUUGGAGGUGGGGGAGGUGGGACUGAGUUCAUGCUUUUG